Molecule: ribosomal RNA, 319 nt
Filed under: uncultured bacterium
Lineage: Bacteria
Description: bacterial SSU rRNA
Rfam family: Bacterial small subunit ribosomal RNA
Source: RNAcentral
AACGAACGCUGGCGGCGUGCUUAAUACAUGACAAGUCGAACGAGAAAGUUCAGCUUCGGUUGAACGAUUAAAGUGGCGAACGGGUGAGUAACACGUGGGCAAUCUGCCCUUAAGUUUGGGAUAAGCCUUCGAAAGGAGGUCUAAUACCGGAUAACAUCUCUAGAUGGCAUCUUUUUGAGAUCAAAGGCGGGGUAACCUGCCGCUUGAGGAUGAGCCCGCGCUCCAUUAGCUUGUUGGUGAGGUAACGGCUCACCAAGGCUUCGAUGGAUAGCCGGCCUGAGAGGGUGAACGGCCACACUGGGACUGAGAUACGGCCCAG